This 692-nucleotide long non-coding RNA is filed under the name Brassica napus (rape). RNAcentral describes it as "long non-coding RNA (BNAP_LNC002609)". Lineage: Eukaryota; Viridiplantae; Streptophyta; Magnoliopsida; Brassicales; Brassicaceae. The record is from RNAcentral.
GUCCUCAUCAUAACGUCCUUACUAAUAUAAUAAAUUUUGUUCUAUUAAUAGAACCUACAUAUACCAAAAAUCAUCUUUUCACUUACAAGGAAAGAAGAAAUUAAAUCAAUUAAAUCUCUAUUGACUUUUAGCAAAAUCAACCUUUCGGAAACAAAAAGUUAUGUCAUACUAUAAUAUAUAGCUUUGUUGGUCUACAUUUUAAAAAUCAUAGUCUACGGUCUUGGAAGAUAGAUAUUAAUCAAAUAUAAACUAGGUUACAACAUAAGAAGGGCAUAAGAUAUAUAGUAGUUUACGAGGUCAAAAAAUUCAUCUCCAUGUUUUUUAAUAGUUUUUGUUUGUUCAUUUCUGUCUUUUAUGUUAACUAGAUACGAGACAUAAGAUUUGUUAAAGUUGAAGUUAUAUAAUAUUGUAAGUUUAUGUCUAAUUCAAAUGAACUAAUGAAACAAACGCCCUGAACUAUUCUAAAACGCAGGCGGUUCCAACUCACAGCGUUGCGGCUGGACUAGGAGCGAUAGAAGGAGUAGUGAUGGAGACCAUCAUCACCUUCGCUUUGGUCUACACCGUCUACGCCACCGCCGCUGAUCCCAAGAAAGGAUCUCUUGGAACCAUCGCUCCUCUCGCCAUUGGUCUCAUCGUCGGUGCCAACAUCCUCGCUGCUGGUCCAUUCUCCGGUGGAUCCAUGAACCCAGCAC